GCCAGCAGCCAUAUCACCCUGCAACUGGCAACCCACUGAAGCUAAGCAGGUGUGAGCCUGGUCAGUACCUGGAUGGGAGACCUCCUGGGAAAAACUAAGGUUGCUGCUGGAA
RNAcentral lists this ribosomal RNA (112 nucleotides) under Lepisosteus oculatus (spotted gar). The record is from RNAcentral. Lineage: Eukaryota; Metazoa; Chordata; Actinopteri; Semionotiformes; Lepisosteidae.